Molecule: ribosomal RNA, 487 nt
Filed under: Javaulius sp. 2 MB-2015
Lineage: Eukaryota; Metazoa; Arthropoda; Insecta; Coleoptera; Curculionidae
Description: partial 16S ribosomal RNA
Source: RNAcentral
UCGAACAGACCUAAAUUUUCAGCUUCUACACCAAAAUUAUAUCUUAAUCCAACAUCGAGGUCGCAAUCUCUUUUUUCGAUUAGAACUCUUAAAAAAAAUUACGCUGUUAUCCCUAAGGUAACUUAAUCUUUUAAUCUUUAUAUAGGAUCAAACACUCAUAAAUUAAUGUAUAAAUAAAAAAAAAGUUAAAUAAAUUUUUCAAUCACCCCAAUUAAAUUAAUCCUCAUAUAAAAAAAUUAAUCCUAAAUAUAUUUAUAAUAAAUUAAUAAAACUCUAUAGGGUCUUCUCGUCUUUUACUAAUAUUUAAGCUUUUUUACUUAAAAAUAAAAUUCUAAUAAAUCAAAAUAGAGACAGAUUUUUUCUCAUUCAACCUUUCAUUCCAGCUUUCAAUUAAAAAACUAAUGAUUAUGCUACCUUUGCACGGUCAAAUUACCGCGGCCAUUUAAAUUUUCAUCGGGCAGGUCAGACCUUAAAUUAUAUUCAAAAG